Molecule: long non-coding RNA, 6758 nt
Filed under: Capsicum annuum
Lineage: Eukaryota; Viridiplantae; Streptophyta; Magnoliopsida; Solanales; Solanaceae
Description: long non-coding RNA (CANN_LNC011736)
Source: RNAcentral
UUGAUAGAAAACAUAAAUGAACAAGUAUUCAUUCAAAUAAAUGAAAAUUAUUUGUACACAUACAUAUAUGUAGACGUAUUGAGCCUACGUCCACUACAGUUUUAACAGCCCCUAAGAAAGAUGAAGCCCCCUUUACAAGGCAAAUAUGCUGACUUGAUGAAACCUAUAAACAUCUCUUCCCCGAAGAUUCAGUCAAUGCCAUCUGUAGAACCUAUUCAAAUUAAGAAGCUUUCUUAUAUUGAUGGGGUUCCAAGAGUUGUGUGGACUGAAGAAGAAGUUGAUAGAAUGAAUGUCUUGGAAAAUUUACAAUAUGCAGUAAUUGGUAAAUUUUCAUAUGGUUGGCCAGUAAUUGAUGAUUUACGUAUGCAAAUUCCUAAGCAACUUAAUGUGAAAGGGAGAUGUAACAUUGGUUUUUUGAGGAAUAGGCAUAUCCUGAUAAGAUUUGAGGAUUUUGUCAAUGUAUCGAAAAAUGUAUAUUACAUUAAUGAUAAGGAUGGUUAUUCAUACCAAAUGAGGCCUUUAAUCCAUGAUACUAAAUUCAGAAUGGAGGAGGAAACAACUCAGGCAAUGGCCUGGAUUUCAUUCCCUAAUCUAACUCCUACUUUCUUUGUUAAAGAGUCCCUAUUUUCCCUUGUCUCAGCAGUUGGCAAGCCAAUUCCAUUGGAUAUGGCUACGAUAAACAAAACCCGACCUAGUUGUGCUAAGGUAAAGGUGCAGGUGGAUUUACUGGCAAGUUUCCCCGAAUUUGUGGAAAUAGGGAUUGUUAACUCUAUUACAAAGGUUUCAAGAGUAGAAAAGGUGAAGAUCCAAUAUGAUUAUAUGCCCAAAUAUUGUCAAAAGUGUAUGCUACAGGGGCAUGACGAGCAGGAUUGUAGACUGUGACAUCCUGAACCAAAAAUGGCCUAUGAUGAUCAAAAUGCAAAUGAGAACAAGGAUGAAGAUAAAGUGGAACAAAAUAUGGGGCACAGAAGAAGAUAUCAAUGGAAUCAACACCAGCAGCAGUGGAAACCCACUAAGAGGAUAUCUAUUAAUAAAGGAUAUUUUAGUGAGAAGGCUACUACUACUACCAAGGAGAAAAAUAGUGAGAAUUCCUUUGGAGCACUUGCAGAAGAAAAUAAAGAGCAUUUAAAUGUUGAUAAUAAUAAUCUUACUUCAAUAGUAAAUGUAGAGCAGGAUAAUACGAAUAAAGAGGAAGGGAGACAACAUUUAUCAACAAAAGAUUGGGUUUCCAAGAUAUUUCCUGGGCAUGGUGAUUAUAAAAGUACCGGUGAUAGAGACAGAGCAGCUCCUGCAACAAAUGAAAAAAAAUCAGUCAAGAAAAAUCUCUUUAGUCAAUCAAAUGCAAACUGAGAGAGAGGAAGGAUAGAAAGAAGAUCAUGUCACCAAAGAUGUUGGUUCAAAGAAUCAGGACACUCACAAGUUAUUACCAGAUAACAGUAACACAAGUGCAAAAGAUGAUAAAAUUCAAAGUUCUACAAAGGAAAAUGUCCAGUCAUCCAGGAUGGAGGAGAUGGCAAUCGUGGCAGUCCCUAUUCCAGUAUCUUUCGAGGAGCCACAAAGUUGGAACGUUGAAAAUCCAAAUGAAGUGCUUUACAGCAUAUUUACACAUAAUGUUCAAACUACAAUGGAACAACUGAAGCAAAUAAAAGCUGGAGGAGGUCGCUCAGGUGUUGGUGAUGAAUAUAUCUGUAAAGCAGCUGAUUUAUCUCCUCGAGCUACAGAAUCAGUUAAGCCUACAAAGAAAGAAAAGAAGAAGAUAAAUGGUGACAACUCACAGCCUAGUAGAGUCCUACCAAAGAGAAAUGUGGUUUCAUAGUAUAGUAAAAGUUGAUGAAAGCCUUAAUGUGGAACAUUAGAUCAGUAAAAUCUAAAAGGGCCUUUCAAAGGGUGCAAAUGCUUCAUAAUUUUCACAAGUUUGAAUUUGUUACUAUUGUGGAACCUUUUAAACAUAUAAGAACCAUUCAUAGAUAUAGAAGAAAAUUGAGGAUGCCAUCGGUAUUUUAUAAUGUGAAUGGUAAAAUAUGGUUAUUUGUUAAUUAUGGGUUGAAUGCUACAAUUAUCAACAACACAGAGCAAACUCUCUCAAUUCUACUACACAAUGUGUCUUUGGGCAUCAAAUUUUUAGUUACUAGUGUGUAUGCUAAAUGUGAUAGAGAGCAGAGAUUGAUUUUGUGGGAUGAGAUCAUGAAUUUAUCAACUGAUCUGAAUACACCAUGGCUUGUAGGGGGGAUUUUAAUGUUGUGAUGAACAGGUCAGAAAAAAUUAGUGGUAAUCCAGUAAGUGUUGUGGAAAUGGAGGAUUUCAGAACUUGUUUUGAAACUAGUGACCUACUCCAUAUCCCUUUUAGAGAACGUCCUUAUACAUGGUGGAAUGGGAGAGCAGGGAUGGAUUGUAUCUUUGAAAGGCUGGAUAGAAUUGCCUCAAAUUCAGAGUUCCAGAAUCCGUUUUCUAGUAUUGAUGUGGAGCACUUGGCUAGGAUAGGUCAGACCAUGUCCGUUUGUUAAUUUUUUGUGAGAAUAGGGCUACCAGAGCUGUAAAACCUUUCAGAUUUUUGAAAUUUUGGACUGAGCAUGAAACAUUUAAGGAGGUAGUGAGAAUGAAUUGGGAUGAUGGCAGAUCAGAGAACCCUUUCCUUGAUUUUAAAAGGAAGAUAAAGCAAGUUAAAAAAGCUUUGUCUCUGUGGAGCAAAGAGGUAUAUGGGGAUAUAUUUCAGCAGCUGAUGAUUAGGGAAGAGAUAGCAAAGAUUCAGGAAAGAUUAUUUGAAGAUAAUCCUACUCCAGAAAAUAGAGUGGUGAUGAAGAGAGCCAAGGCUGAAUACACUAAAUACCUGAAUUUAUAAGAGAGUUACUGGCAACAGAAGGCGGGAUAUGAUUGGUUUCAAAGUGGAGACAGAAAUACUAAAUUUUUUCACAGCAUUGUUAAAAGAAGGAGAAGCAAAUUAAAAGUGAGUAGAAUUUUAAAUUAACAGGGGUGUUGGCUGGAGGAUGAGUAACUGAUAGCAGAUGAAGCAGUUUUAUUUUAUCACAAAUAGUUUACUAAAGAUAUGGAUAACACUGACUGUUCAUUACUGCAAUAUAUCCCUGAACUGAUAAAAGAAGAGGAUAAUGAAGCUUUGGGAGCCAUUCCAGAUGAUGAUGAAGUGAAGAAUGUUGUUUUUAGCCUCAAUGGAGAUGGUGCUUAUGUACCUGAUGGUCUCUCGGGAAGAUUUUACCAAUCAUGUUGGGAUAUUGUAAGUUUUGACAUAUAUAGACAGGUGAAGGAUUUUAUGCAGGAAAUACAUUACCAAAAUCAAUUACCCAUACUAAUUUGGUCCUCAUACCUAAGAAAGAAAAUGUUCAAUCUUUCUUAGACUUGAGGCCCAUUAGUCUAAGUAAUUUUGUGAACAAAAUCAUGUCAAGAAUUCUUCAUGAUAGAUCGGAAAAAAUUCUCCCUAGGCUCAUAUCUUCUAAUCAAUCUGGUUUUGUUAGACAAAAAAGCAUAAUCGAUAAUGUCUUACUAGCUCAGGAACUGGUUACAGACAUUGGGAAGAGAGAGAAGACUGCUAAUGUAAUUUUGAAAUUGGAUAUGGCUAAAGCAUAUGAUAGAGUGUCUUGGUUCUUUUGGAUGAAGGUUAUGAGAAAGAUGGGUUUUUCUAAUAGGGUGGUUGAUGUGGUCUGGAGGUUAAUCUCUAAUAACUACUACCCAGUCUUAUUAAAUGGUCAAGCUACUGGAUUCUUUCAUUCUACCAGGGGGGUGAAGCAGGGGGAUCCUUUAUCCCCAACCUUAUUUAUACUGUCUGCUGAAGUUCUGACAAGAGCUCUAAACCAUCUAUUUGAGGAUGUUGCAUAUAUAGGGUAUGGAAUGCCAAAGUGGAGCCCUAACUUAAAUCAUUUAGCUUAUGCUGAUGAUACCAUUAUUUUUACCUCUUCUAAUGAAUAUUCUAUGAGGAAAAUUAUGCAGGUUUUGAAGGAGUAUGAGCAACAAUCUGGACAAAAGGUGAAUAUGAACAAAAGCCUAUUUUAUGUGCAUCAAAACACUGCUGUGGAUGUUUGGCAAAAGGUGGAGCAAUACACUNNNNNNNNNNNNNNNNNNNNNNNNNNNNNNNNNNNNNNNNNNNNNNNNNNNNNNNNNNNNNNNNNNNNNNNNNNNNNNNNNNNNNAUGCCGAAGGGAGAAUUCCCAUUGAAGUAUCUUGGAUGUCCAUUAUCUCAUGCAAAGAAGAAGAAGGAGAAUUAUGAAGAUUUAUUGGACAAGGUUAGAGGUAAACAUCAGGCCUGGAAAGGUAGGAUGCUCUCUUAUGGUGGAAAAGAAGUCCUCAUUAAAAGUGUCUUACCAAGCAUUCCAAUUUAUAUUUUAUCUGCAAUUAUUCAUUCAAAAAGUGUCAUCAAGGAUCUACAUAGAAUAUUUGCUAAAUUUUUCUGGAACAGCAAAGAGAAUGGAAGAGGUAAACACUAAUCAGCUUGGGAUAAAGUAUGUGUACCUAAAGAAGAAGGGGGAUUAGGGUUUAGAUCUUUAAAAGAUGUUUCUCAAGCAAUGUACGCUAAACUAUGGUGGAAAUUUAGAACACAAAAGAAUUUGUGGAUUAAUUUCUUAUGGAACAAGUAUUGCAAGAAGCAAAUUCCUGCUUUUGUUCAGGGCAAGGGUGGAUCUCAAGUAUGGAAAGCUAUGUUGAAAGAUAGAGAAUCUAUUGAACAUGCGAUUUGGUGGGAGCCUAAAGGUGGUUCUUUGCAGACUUGCCUUCCAUGAAAGAGAUUAGGGAAGUUUUAGGAGAGGAUGGGUGGAAUUAGAGUAAAAUGCAUGAUGAAAUUCCUGAGAAUGUGGUGAAUUAUGUCCAAAAAAAAAUGGAAAAUCUGGAAUUUGAAGAGGGACCAGACAAACCUUGGUGGACAAAAUCUAGCAAAGGUGAUUUUACUGUCAAGAGUGUGUGGGAAAUGAUAAGAAAAAGAGGUGAGAUUAAUGAAGAUCUGAAGAGUUUCUGGUGUAAAGGGUUGCCUUUUAAAUUCUCCUUCCUUGCUUGGAGAGUUUGGCAAGGAAAAGUGCCAGUAGUUGCACUAAUGCACACUUGGAAUUCAAGUAUUUCACAGGAUUGUUUAUGUUGUAGUAGUCCUAACAGAGAAACUGUUGAACAUUUGUUUCUAAGAGGAGAAAUAGCAGAUGAGAUUUGGCAACAUUACUGUGCAGGUUCUGGUAUAAUAGAUCAAAGACAUAAUUUGAAACAAAGUGUGAGAUUGUGGAGAGAAACUGAUAGAAAUGUAAGAUGUAAAACAGUGUAUCAAGUGGUUCCUAUUCUGAUUAUGUGGUUUUUAUGGAAAAGCAGAAAUACUAAAACUACAUGGGGGAACUUAUCAUAAGAGGAAGAUAUACUGGGAAAUUAAUAACUAUAUCCUAAAAUUCAUGAAGCUCAAAUUCCAUAUGCAGAUUGAAGAAAAUAAUUUGAUUAAUAUUGUUGAUGCUUUACAGGAGUACAAACCUUCCUAUCAAAUAAAAGUUGUUAGAUGGAGGCCUUCACUACAUGAAUGGAUGAAAGGAAACACUGAUGGGGCUUCUAGGGGAAACCCAGGUCCAAGUUUAUGUGCCUUUUGCAUAAGAAAUUCAGAAGGCAAUUUAAUUAUUGCCAAGGGCUCAAGAAUUCAUGAUACGAUAAGUAUAGUGGCUGAAGCUAUUGCAAUUAAGGAGUGCUUGAGGUUUUGUAGGGAUAAUAGUAUUCAUCUAAUAGAAGUGGAGACAGAUUCCUGGACCUUAGUCCAAGUCUUGCAGGGGGAAUGGGAGGUCCCGUGGUGUGUGGUUUUGGAAGUGAAUUUCAUCAGAGAAUUGAUGUCACAAGUAACAGCAAGAGUGGUACAUUCCCUUUGGGAAGGUAACACUCUUGCUGAUUAUUUUGCUAACAUGGUUUUGGAUUUUGCAGGUGAUUUUCAAAUUACUAAUGUUGAAGACAUUCCAGCACAAGGGAGAAGAAUUAUCAAAUUGGAUAAAUGAGGUACACCACACAUAAGAAGAACAGUGCAAUAUGAAGGGGGCUAGCAGAUUCAUUAAAGCAGGUUAGAUUUUAACACACAAGGUCAUUUCAAAGAAAAAAUCACACCAGCAGCAACAUCACACCAGCAGCAUAAUAACUAAUUAUCAUCACACAAGGCAGGAAAUCCUCAGACUAUAUUCGACGCUUGUUCACUUACAUCCACAAUACAUCAGAAUAGUGUUUUAUACAGUGAUUUUCAUAAGGUAGUGAAGGAUUCCGAUGGUGGUGGUAUCAACUUCGUAUGAGGUUCAUCCCACCAAGGAAAAGUCAACAACCAGACGAACACUGCUAUGAAAUAAUUACUUUCUUCUCUAAAUCUACAGGAUAUUAGCAAGAGUACCUAGAAUAGCAGCAGAUCUAGUCUCAGCUAUUAUCAAUCUCGAAGAAUACUUCUUUUUGGGGACAGAAAUCACGGCACCGGUGAAAUUGAGAGGUUACCUAAGUGAUUGCUACCAAAAGAUUGAUAAUUUAAAAGAGAUUAGAAAAAUUGUUAGAAAGGGAAAUCAAGCUAGUAAUUGAUAUAGGAAUUCCACUUAUCUACAAGAAUCCAACAAAUUCUGGUGUUUCACCUCAUCUACCAUCUCCGGCGACGUCACAUACGCUACAAUUUUCUCAGCUGAGCUAAUGGCUCUUUACUUUCCUAAUCUAGUCUAUUCCAAUUUCUUUUUGGAUUUUGCAUUUGUUUUUCCUUAGAGAUACAACUGAUUUUUUUGUCUUUGUGGAUUGGGCUGUUGGGCCUUAUGUGGAAUGAAACAUUUCGGUUAA